UGCUCCAUGGUGUAAUGGUUAGCACACAGGAUUUUGAUUCCUGUAAUACUGGUUCGAAUCCAGUUGGGGUAG
This 72-nucleotide transfer RNA is filed under the name Caudoviricetes sp. Its description in RNAcentral is "tRNA-Gln". It matches the Rfam family "tRNA". From Rfam's summary of the family: Transfer RNA (tRNA) molecules are approximately 80 nucleotides in length. Their secondary structure includes four short double-helical elements and three loops (D, anti-codon, and T loops). Further hydrogen bonds mediate the characteristic L-shaped molecular structure. tRNAs have two regions of fundamental functional importance: the anti-codon, which is responsible for specific mRNA codon recognition, and the 3' end, to which the tRNAs corresponding amino acid is attached (by aminoacyl-tRNA synthetases). tRNAs cope with the degeneracy of the genetic code in two manners: having more than one tRNA (with a specific anti-codon) for a particular amino acid; and 'wobble' base-pairing, i.e. permitting non-standard base-pairing at the 3rd anti-codon position. Lineage: Duplodnaviria; Heunggongvirae; Uroviricota; Caudoviricetes. The record is from RNAcentral.